CCUACGGGAGGCAGCAGUGGGGAAUUUUGGACAAUGGACGCAAGUCUGAUCCAGCCAUUCCGCGUGCAGGACGAAGGCCUUCGGGUUGUAAACUGCUUUUGUACGGAACGAAAAGCUCUUAUUAAUACCAGGAGUCCAUGACGGUACCGUAAGAAUAAGCACCGGCUAACUACGUGCCAGCAGCCGCGGUAAUACGUAGGGUGCAAGCGUUAAUCGGAAUUACUGGGCGUAAAGCGUGCGCAGGCGGUUAUAUAAGACAGAUGUGAAAUCCCCGAGCUUAACUUGGGAACUGCAUUUGUGACUGUAUAGCUAGAGUACGGCAGAGGGGGAUGGAAUUCCGCGUGUAGCAGUGAAAUGCGUAGAUAUGCGGAGGAACACCGAUGGCGAAGGCAAUCCCCUGGGCCUGUACUGACGCUCAUGCACGAAAGCUGGGGAGCAAAACAGGAUUAGACUACCCGUGGUACGUCCGACGACCGUAACCGACUAGUACUACUACGGUUGUUGGUUCGUUCUACUCGUAC
This 521-nucleotide ribosomal RNA is filed under the name uncultured bacterium. Its description in RNAcentral is "bacterial SSU rRNA". It matches the Rfam family "Bacterial small subunit ribosomal RNA", at positions 338 to 847 of the family's 1533-position model. The record is from RNAcentral.